RNAcentral lists this ribosomal RNA (510 nucleotides) under uncultured Dethiobacter sp. Its description in RNAcentral is "bacterial SSU rRNA". It matches the Rfam family "Bacterial small subunit ribosomal RNA", at positions 8 to 526 of the family's 1533-position model. Lineage: Bacteria; Bacillati; Bacillota; Dethiobacteria; Dethiobacterales; Dethiobacteraceae. The record is from RNAcentral.
AGAGUUUGAUCCUGGCUCAGGACGAACGCUGGCGGCGUGCCUAACGCAUGCAAGUCGAACGGAGUUAUAGGGUUGCUUGCUACCCGAACAACUUAGUGGCGCACGGGUGAGUAACACGUGGGCAAUCUGCCCGGAAGUCUGGGAUAACAGCUCGAAAGGGCUGCUAAUACCGGAUAUCUUCAAGAAGUCGCAUGACUUAAUGAAGAAAGUUUUUUCGCUUCCGGAUGAGCCCGCGUCCCAUUAGCUAGUUGGUGAGGUAACGGCUCACCAAGGCAACGAUGGGUAGCUGGUCUGAGAGGACGAUCAGCCACACUGGAACUGAGACACGGUCCAGACUCCUACGGGAGGCAGCAGUGGGGAAUCUUGCGCAAUGGGCGAAAGCCUGACGCAGCAACGCCGCGUGAAUGAUGAAGGCCUUCGGGUCGUAAAAUUCUGUCAGGGGGGAAGAAGAUCUGACGGUACCCCCGGAGGAAGCCCCGGCUAACUACGUGCCAGCAGCCGCGGUAAUAC